AUGAUUCUUAUUGUGGGCUUUAGCCUUUUGUUUUUCUACAAAGGCAUGCUGUGUAAUCAGGUGACCCAGAAUUCUGAAGACCAGACGGUGUUAAGUGGCAGGGAGCUAAUGUUGCUCUGCACUUACGAUGUUAGCUUCUCAAAUCCAGAUUUGUACUGGUACCGAAAAAGGCCAGAGGGGUCCUUUCAGUUUAUCCUUUAUAAGGAUAACACCAGAUCUAAAUAUGCAGGUUUUGCUCAAGGCCGAUUUUUUGUGAAGCACAAUCCGACCCAGAAAACUUUCCACCUGGUGGUGUCCCGAGUGAGUCUGGAAGACAGUGCCACUUACUAUUGUGCUGUGAAUCCCACGGUGAUGCAGGUGCCCAGGAAGUCUGCACACAAACCUCUGGGGAACAGCUCUGCAGAGCUACCUCUURGGGUGGGGGGCACGACCUAG
Molecule: non-coding RNA, 435 nt
Organism: Urocitellus parryii (Arctic ground squirrel)
Lineage: Eukaryota; Metazoa; Chordata; Mammalia; Rodentia; Sciuridae
Source: the annotation of a RefSeq genome assembly